This 446-nucleotide ribosomal RNA is filed under the name uncultured bacterium. RNAcentral describes it as "partial 16S ribosomal RNA". It matches the Rfam family "Bacterial small subunit ribosomal RNA", at positions 338 to 795 of the family's 1533-position model. The record is from RNAcentral.
CCUACGGGUGGCAGCAGUCGAGAAUCAUUCACAAUGGGGGAAACCCUGAUGGUGCGACGCCGCGUGGGGGAAUGAAGGUCUUCGGAUUGUAAACCCCUGUCAUGUGGGAGCAAAUUAAAAAGAUAGUACCACAAGAGGAAGAGACGGCUAACUCUGUGCCAGCAGCCGCGGUCAUACAGAGGUCUCAAGCGUUGUUCGGAAUCACUGGGCGUAAAGCGUGCGUAGGCUGUUUCGUAAGUCGUGGGUGAAAGGCGCGGGCUCAACCCGCGGACGGCACAUGAUACUGCGAGACUAGAGUAAUGGAGGGGGAGCCGGAAUUCUCGGUGUAGCAGUGAAAUGCGUAGAUAUCGAGAGGAACACUCGUGGCGAAGGCGGGUUCCUGGACAUUAACUGACGCUGAGGCACGAAGGCCAGGGGAGCGAAAGGGAUUAGAUACCCGGGUAGUC